Molecule: ribosomal RNA, 468 nt
Filed under: uncultured bacterium
Lineage: Bacteria
Description: partial 16S ribosomal RNA
Rfam family: Bacterial small subunit ribosomal RNA
Source: RNAcentral
GACGAACGCUGGCGGCGUGCUUAACACAUGCAAGUCGAACGGAAAGGCCCUGCUUUUGUGGGGUGCUCGAGUGGCGAACGGGUGAGUAACACGUGAGUAACCUGCCCUUGACUUUGGGAUAACUUCAGGAAACUGGGGCUAAUACCGGAUAGGAGCUCCUGCUGCAUGGUGGGGGUUGGAACGUUUCGGCGGUUGGGGAUGGACUCGCGGCUUAUCAGCUUGUUGGUGGGGUAGUGGCUUACCAAGGCUUUGACGGGUAGCCGGCCUGAGAGGGUGACCGGCCACAUUGGGACUGAGAUACGGCGCAGACUCCUACGGGAGGCAGCAGUGGGGAAUAUUGCACAGUGGGCGGAAGCGUGAUGCAGCAACGCCGCGUGCGGGAUGACGGCCUUCGGGUUGUAAACCGCUUUCGCCUGUGACGAAGCGUGAGUGACGGUAAUGGGUAAAGAAGCACCGGCUAACUACGUG